CCUACGGGUGGCUGCAGUGGGGAAUCUUGCGCAAUGGGCGGAAGCCUGACGCAGCAACGCCGCGUGGGGGAUGACGGCCUUCGGGUUGUAAACCUCUUUCGCGAUCGACGAAGGCCCACUUUCUGUGGGUUGACGGUAGGUCGAGAAGAAGCACCGGCCAACUACGUGCCAGCAGCCGCGGUAAUACGUAGGGUGCGAGCGUUGUCCGGAAUUAUUGGGCGUAAAGAGCUCGUAGGCGGUGUGUCGCGUCGGCCGUGAAAACCUGGGGCUUAACU
RNAcentral lists this ribosomal RNA (275 nucleotides) under uncultured Actinomycetospora sp. RNAcentral's name for it is "partial 16S ribosomal RNA". It matches the Rfam family "Bacterial small subunit ribosomal RNA", at positions 338 to 614 of the family's 1533-position model. The record is from RNAcentral. Lineage: Bacteria; Bacillati; Actinomycetota; Actinomycetes; Pseudonocardiales; Pseudonocardiaceae.